Molecule: long non-coding RNA, 981 nt
Organism: Herpailurus yagouaroundi (jaguarundi)
Lineage: Eukaryota; Metazoa; Chordata; Mammalia; Carnivora; Felidae
Exons: 3
Source: RefSeq, a predicted model, not a curated record
UGUCCUGUGAGUUGCCACCCGUGGGCAAAAUAAAGUUAAGACGAAACUUUCCAAAGUAAAAUUAAGUUUCUCUGUGCAUCCUCUGAUGUUAUGUGAAACAGGAGUUGUACUUCAGUCACCAGUAAGAAGAUACAUAAAUAAAUCAAGACUGCUGCCACAUUUGGCGCUAUCCCCAUCUUGGCAGUCUCUACGAGGCCAAGAGUUGAGCUGGCCACGGAAGGGUGAUUUAUCUAGGGGGUACCUUUACAACAGGAAAGCUGGACGACUAAUGGACUUUGAAUUCUAACCGAGUCAAACCAGUACCCUUGUUGAGUAUUCGUUAAAAAAAAAAAAAAAAAAGAAUCUGAAUCUUCUAUGUCACUGACAAAAACAAGUUUAAUAAGGCACCACAGUCCAAUUCAAUUUGGAGAAAACAAAGUUGUUUUUCUCCAAAACAGGAAAAAAAAUUAUACUAACUAGAUCUGUUUUACUCACCCAAGUCAAUACUUGGAAGAUUAAAAGAAAACUGGUAUGCGGAUGCUAAGAGGCCAGAGGUUGGGGGGCUGUGGGCGGAAGCUGCCCAGGCUCCAAACUACCGCCGGCCCAGUGGGCAGCAGUGCCCGACCCACGGCGGGCAGUCCCGGGUCCGUCUGAUGGACACCGGUUUGACAUACGCCAAACCCCCGCCGUCUGGUUCGUCGCUCUGACCCUGCCAAUGCAGCAAACGGCCAGACCCUCUCCGCGCUGUAACGAGCAGAGCGGCCCGCUCGCGUCCAGCCUUAGCCGGGCACUGCGCGUCCAGGGGAGGGUUCAGACUAAAUGAAGGACGAAAAACAACAAAGCUGCAUGAGGAAACAAGAAGUGAUUGCCAGGCUCCUCCGAGGGCCCAGGGCUGCUUGGGACCUGCAGAAUUGCUGAACAGGGGAGUCGCUGUGGGUGAAGGGGUGCAGGUAAGCCCUCGGGAACAGGUGCCUGGGAUAGUCAAGAUGUGUUUUCCCAGUG